Molecule: ribosomal RNA, 253 nt
Filed under: uncultured bacterium
Lineage: Bacteria
Description: partial 16S ribosomal RNA
Rfam family: Bacterial small subunit ribosomal RNA
Source: RNAcentral
UACGGGGGGGGUAAGCGUUGUUCGGAAUUACUGGGCGUAAAGGGCUCGUAGGCGGCCAACUAAGUCAUACGUGAAAUCCCUCAGCUUAACUGGGGAACUGCGUGUGAUACUGGAUGGCUUGGAUUUGGGAGAGGGAUGCGGAAUUCCAGGUGUAGCGGUGAAAUGCGUAGAUAUCUGGAGGAACACCGGUGGCGAAGGCGGCUACCUGGACAGAAACUGACGCUGAGGCGCGAAAGCUAGGGGAGCAAACAGG